UGGGGCGUGGCCAAGCGGUAAGGCAGGGGACUUUGGAUCCCCGAUCGUUGGUUCGAAUCCAGCCGCCCCAGCCA
Molecule: transfer RNA, 74 nt
Filed under: Bacillota bacterium
Lineage: Bacteria; Bacillati; Bacillota
Description: tRNA-Gln
Rfam family: tRNA
About the family: Transfer RNA (tRNA) molecules are approximately 80 nucleotides in length.
Source: RNAcentral